GCUCUUUAGCUUGAGACGUUUUCGUCAAGUCGGGUGAUUAGCCAGACUCAAAUUUAUUGGGCGGU
This is a non-coding RNA of Aeromonas hydrophila subsp. hydrophila ATCC 7966, 65 nucleotides long. It matches the Rfam family "Retron msr RNA". From Rfam's summary of the family: Retron elements are found in a wide range of mainly Gram-negative bacteria. The retron encodes a reverse transcriptase that is responsible for the production of a small satellite DNA called msDNA (multi-copy single-stranded DNA). msDNA has both DNA (encoded by the retron msd gene) and RNA (encoded by the msr gene) components. Lineage: Bacteria; Pseudomonadati; Pseudomonadota; Gammaproteobacteria; Aeromonadales; Aeromonadaceae. The record is from Rfam.